GAACCUCUUUUGACAAAAAUCACUUCGCCUUGAGCUGGUUGGAGAAGUCAGACUUGAUUUUAGGAAGAAAACCACAUAUAGCACACAGUCACAUUUUUGUUUUGAGGGGAAAGAGUGCAAAAUCUGUGUUUUAUAAUCCUUUUGCUUUCAAAUUUAAAAAUUAUUCUUUUUCUUUUUCUUUCCAGUUCUAAUUUCCCCCUGUCCAUAUUGAUCAAAAUUUUGAUUUGAGCUUUGAUGUUUAAGCACAAACCUAAAAAAUGUAAAAAAAAAUAAAAUAAUAAACUGUAUAAACCUAUAGCUUUUUAAUGCGAUUGAAACUACAUUUGGAUCCGUGGCUAACAUUAUUUUAGUCUUGUACUGUACCAUCUGAGUUCAAUUUAACAGUACUUCUUAGGAUUUAACAUGGUAAUUCCAACUUUAUUUUGAAUUUAAGAGACAGUUGCAUUUUUUUAUGACAACAGAUUGCAAUAAUGAUCCACUAUUUAUGAAUAAUAUUUUAUGUGAUGUUUAUUAAUUGGUUCUAAAUGCAGGUAUGGUAAUACACAUAGUCAAUGAAGGGAUUUGUCUGUAAAUUGAACUUGGAUCUAUACUACAGUUUUAUAUACAUGUCACAAUACUUUAUUUCAGUAUAUCAUUAUUUCUUUAACUGAAGGCAAAUACAGGUAAAUAUGGUUACAUUUCUUAUUUAACAGAUUGUAUAAGAAUUUUGUAGUGUUUACGUGGUAUUAUCAGUUUAAAAAUGUCCUGUUAUCUGUUACUGUAACUUGACUCCUGACAAUAUAUUAUUUGAUUUUUUAAAUUUUUUUAUUUUAUUCAAUAUUUAAUUUAUUCUACUAACCCCCAUAGUCUCUGCUUUGAAAUACCACCAGAGAUUUGAAUUACUCUGUUCUCUGUGGCUCAAUGUAGCCAUUUCUUUGCACCAUAAGACUAUGUGUUUCCCCUUCUUAACUUGUUUUUACUUUGUGUCCUGUCCCUAUCAAUGCUCCAGCUAUAUAUUAAGGGUCUGUUUAUUUCAGGGGUCCUCAGACUCAACCCUGGAGUCUGGUGAGCCACAGGAUUGCCACAGAAACCAGUGUAGACCCAUUUAACUCACUGAGCUGAGGUCGCUGUGCAGUCAAUGUGGCUAUAACUGAUCAAUUAAGUGCUGAGUAAUAACUCCAUAAUACUGAACAGUCUGUGCCUCUCUAGCACCAUGGUUGGGGACCUCUACUUCAUUCUGUCACAAACCAUCACCUUAGUUUACUUAUUAUAUAUCUUAAAACAAGCCCUUAACAUAAAGUAUGACCUUGAUAUUAUUGUUUAAGUUUUAACUUGCCUCCCGUGCCUCUAAAUGACUGAUUCUUUUACUCCGCAGGUUUGUGCUGCUGUGCUUUUUUUGUCCAGAAAUGUUGUGUGCAUUUUAUUUUAUAUUGGUUUUUUAUUUGUAGCUUCAGUUUUGCCACAGAUCCAAGAUUCUGUCCUUAACUUUGCCUUAUCAAUUGUGACAAAUUGUGAUAAAACUGAUGAAGAAACACAUGUAGGUGUAGCACGCAAAUGUUGAGUAAAGAGUGUUUUAAAAGUGUGCCUAAAUUUCUUAACAUUAGAGUCGCCAACUUGCACGUCAUUAUAGAACAUUUAAAAAGUUGAAUUAUUUCAUUAGUGUUUAUGCUUUUUCCAUCCUGCCAUGACUUUUUCAAUAGCCAUACUGUAAGUUGUAAAUGUUAUGGCAUUAGCCUGUAUACCAUUUACAACUCCAAACAACACCAUAUAUAGUCUAAUAGAGAUAACAUCAGACUAAGUAAUUUAUUUUCAUAUGGGUGCUAUCUAAUUUGUCUAGAUUUUAUUCCAAUAAGGCUCCUGAUUGUGUUUAUAGUGUUGCGGCAGGUGGCUGUGUGACUUUGGAAACAUAAAUUUUUCUGAAAAUAGAUAGUAUGUGGAGACAAAGUUUUUUGAACUGCUGAAAGUGUGCAAUACAUACCAGUACCAUUUUGAGAAGUUGGUUGCCAGAUUAUUGUUUAUUGUUGAUUUAUAGCAUUUUCAGCUGCCUAUGGAUGGUUGAGAGCUGGGCCUUGGCCGUUAUCACAUAGUGCGCUAUAUGGAUGGAGGACCCUUCAGGGAGA
This is a long non-coding RNA of Anguilla rostrata (American eel), 2099 nucleotides long. RefSeq lists it as uncharacterized. The transcript is spliced from 2 exons. NCBI's taxonomy places the organism in Eukaryota, Metazoa, Chordata, Actinopteri, Anguilliformes, Anguillidae. The record is from RefSeq and is a predicted model, not a curated record.